Long non-coding RNA from Agelaius phoeniceus (red-winged blackbird), 754 nucleotides. RefSeq lists it as uncharacterized. Lineage: Eukaryota; Metazoa; Chordata; Aves; Passeriformes; Icteridae. The record is from RefSeq and is a predicted model, not a curated record.
AUGUGGUGAGCUCGGCGAUGGAAACCAAAACGCGGAGCAGAUGUUCCCGGGGCGGCCUCGGCGAGGAGCGCAUCUGGCACCGCCGCUCCUCCCCGCAGGAUCCUCCCUCCGCAGAUUCAGCCCAGGACUCCAGGGAUGCAUAUUCCUCUCCUGGAACUUGUAUAUCCGGCCUGAGGAUGAAAACCCCCCGAAGCCCUGAGCAUAACAAGCAUUUCUUGUAUUUCUGCUGUCUCCGUCACAUCGGGCAUGUAGCGAACGCUCGGGCUGAUAAACAGCAUCUGGUUGGAGUCAGGAGGCGGAGGAAAUUCUUGUACAAAAAUGGAAACGCGCCCCUUCUGCCAAGCUAUUAAUUCUGCUUCCUAUGGAAACCGAGGGGUCCCUGCCUUUGUGCUGGGAUUCUGCACUCAACUUCCAAGUUUAUUUUUAUGCCCAGAUUUGGCGAAGCACUGAGGGCUGAGGGUGGUGCUACGUGUGAGCUGAGGUCUCUCCCUGAGCGAGGCUGGAUCUGAAACACCUACCAGCACCCACAGGCACGUGCUCCAGCAAACAUCCCCACACUGGCCUUGUUCCUUACUAUGAGACUUUCUUUUCUUGUCCUUGCCAAGUUAUCCUCUGCUUUAAUUAAUUUUGCACAGCGAGCCUGGGAGCUGCUGGUGGUUUUGAGCCUCUGGAAUAGUCAGGGAAGCAAUUUAAUCAGCACGAGUGAGCCAAAGUUGCUUAAGCGAUUUGUAAUAAGUUCCAGGCUCUUCCACAC